Molecule: ribosomal RNA, 497 nt
Filed under: uncultured bacterium
Lineage: Bacteria
Description: partial 16S ribosomal RNA
Rfam family: Bacterial small subunit ribosomal RNA
Source: RNAcentral
GAUGAACGCUGGCGGCGUGCCUAAUACAUGCAAGUCAAGCGAACGGACGAGAAGCUUGCUUCUCUGAUGUUAGCGGCUGACGUGUGAGUAACACGUGGAUAACCUACCUAUAAGACUGGGAUAACUUCGGGAAACCGGAGCUAAUACCGGAUGAUAUUUUGAACCGCAUGGUUCAAAAGUGAAAGACGGUCUUUCUGUCACUUAUAGAUGGAUCCGCGCUGCAUUAGCUAGUUGGUAAGGUAACGGCUUACCAAGGCAACGAUGCAUAGCCGACCUGAGAGGGUGAUCGGCAACACUGGAACUGAGACACGGUCCAGACUCCUACGGGAGGCAGCAGUAGGGAAUCUUCCGCAAUGGGCGAAAGCCUGACGGAGCAACGCCGCGUGAGUGAUGAAGGUCUUCGGAUCGUAAAACUCUGUUAUUAGGGAAGAACAUAUGUGUAAGUAACUGUGCACAUCUUGACGGUACCUAAUCAGAAAGCCACGGCUAACUACGUG